GAUGAACGCUGGCGGCGUGCCUAAUACAUGCAAGUCGAGCGAACAGACGAGGAGCUUGCUCCUCUGACGUUAGCGGCGGACGGGUGAGUAACACGUGGAUAACCUACCUAUAAGACUGGGAUAACUUCGGGAAACCGGAGCUAAUACCGGAUAAUAUAUUGAACCGCAUGGUUCAAUAGUGAAAGACGGUUUUGCUGUCACUUAUAGAUGGAUCCGCGCCGCAUUAGCUAGUUGGUAAGGUAACGGCUUACCAAGGCAACGAUGCGUAGCCCACCUGAGAGGGGGGGUCGCCCCCACAGGAGCGGACCCCGCACCCAGGCGCUAAGGGGAGGCCGAGGUGGGGAACCUUCCCAAAGGGGGGAAAGCUUGACGGAGAAACGCCGGGUGAGUGAAGAAGGUCUGCGGACGGUAAAACGUUGUUAUUGGGGAAAAAAAAAUGUGUAAGUAACUAUGCCCGUCUGAAGGGUACCUAAACAGAAAGCCCGGGCAAACUACGG
This 497-nucleotide ribosomal RNA is filed under the name uncultured bacterium. RNAcentral describes it as "partial 16S ribosomal RNA". It matches the Rfam family "Bacterial small subunit ribosomal RNA", at positions 28 to 506 of the family's 1533-position model. The record is from RNAcentral.